This 201-nucleotide long non-coding RNA is filed under the name Elaeis guineensis (African oil palm). RNAcentral's name for it is "long non-coding RNA (EGUI_LNC007812)". The record is from RNAcentral. Lineage: Eukaryota; Viridiplantae; Streptophyta; Magnoliopsida; Arecales; Arecaceae.
AUCUCUCUGUACAACCUCUCUUUUCAUGGCUUCACACUCCCCUACCCUCCAUCUCUAGAGGUGCGUAAAAUCGUACCAUGGAUCGCAGACUGCAUAGAAUCGCAUUGCAAGAUGGAGUCGUGGGGCUAUAAUACAGAGGAUGGAUGGUCGGGCAACAUGAAACCGCAUCAAGUUGUAUAGAGCUCGGAUAAAUGGUGAGGC